RNAcentral lists this ribosomal RNA (433 nucleotides) under uncultured bacterium. RNAcentral's name for it is "partial 16S ribosomal RNA". It matches the Rfam family "Bacterial small subunit ribosomal RNA", at positions 29 to 507 of the family's 1533-position model. The record is from RNAcentral.
AAUGAACGCUGGCGGCAUGCCUAACACAUGCAAGUCGAACGAGAGCUUCGGGUCUAGUGUCGCACGGGUGCGUAACGCGUGGGAACCUGCAUUUAGGGUCGGAAUAACUCAGAGAAAUGUGAGGUAAUACCGGAUGAUGUCUUCGGACCAAAGAUUUAUCGAACUUAGUGGGGCCAGCGUUGGAUUAGCUAGUUGGUGGGGUAAAGGACUACCAAGGUGAGGAUCCAUAGCUGGUCAGAGAGGAAGAUCAGCCACUCUGGGACGGAGAAACGGCCCAGACUCCUACGGGAGGCAGCAAAGGGGGAUAGUGGACAGUCGGCGGAAGCCUGAACCAGCAAGGCCGCGUGAGUGAUGAAGGCCGGGAGGAUGUCAAGCGCUUUUACCCGAGAUGAUAAUGACAGUAUCGGGAGAAUAAGCUCCGGCUAACUCCGUG